AAAUUGAAGAGUUUGAUCAUGGCUCAGAUUGAACGCUGGCGGCAGGCCUAACACAUGCAAGUCGAGCGGCAGCGGAAAGUAGCUUGCUACUUUGCCGGCGAGCGGCGGACGGGUGAGUAAUGUCUGGGAAACUGCCUGAUGGAAACUGCCUGAUGGAGGG
This 160-nucleotide ribosomal RNA is filed under the name Enterobacter roggenkampii. RNAcentral describes it as "partial 16S ribosomal RNA". It matches the Rfam family "Bacterial small subunit ribosomal RNA", at positions 1 to 153 of the family's 1533-position model. The record is from RNAcentral. Lineage: Bacteria; Pseudomonadati; Pseudomonadota; Gammaproteobacteria; Enterobacterales; Enterobacteriaceae.